CUCAAACGGCCAACCUACGUUACGUGACUCGCAUAAUCGUGUUAAGGUAUCUGAGACGACAGAUUAAUAAAGUUUUAUUAAGUUUCAGACAGUGACUGAUGGCUGAAAUAUGCGAAUACCUGUGAAAAUAGAGGAAAAAGUAGUUUCUGACACUGAAAAGCGAAUUUGAUAUUUAAGUGAGUCAAAUGAGUUCAAAAAGUGAAUACGACUUUCUGCUCUAAUGUAAACGCCUGCAGUUGUCCAUAUCGACAUUUAAAUCAUACAAAUUACGUACAAUAUAGUCGGACCGCAGGUCUAAAAGAACCGACGACCCAGUUCAAGUAAACCGGUUCAGUAAUUCUAGAACAAAGUGAUUCCCGGAAAAGAAUCGACGUCUCAGGGCAUUUCAAAGUGCGCGCACGCACAGCGAGUGACGCUGGCCGCAAAAGCGCAUGGAUACAUUUGUGAGAGAAAAACUCGUCGAGUGCAGUCUUAUUGAGGCGUCUAACGGUUGGAACAAACAUGGAAUUCCUUAACUGAGCAGAGUCCACAAAACCCCAUCCAAUUGUUGUGGCGAUUUAAAAAUGACAGCAGAUCUCUCAGGCAUUGAUCAUAAUCAAUGGACAGGUCACCGUAGCCACCCGUAUCCAGUACGUAUCCAGACCAGAUGGUGGAUCAGCACCUAGAAAGGACCUCUACAGCCCUGAGAGACAGCGGAGACCAGGACAACUAUAGCCCCAGAUACAGAUCCCCUGUAAAGACCUUGUCUCAGAUAACCACCAGGACAAGACCACAGGAAACAGAUGAUUCUUCUGCACAAUCUGACUUUGCUGCAGCCUGGAAUUGAACUACUGGUUUCCUCUGGUCAGAGGAGAACUGACCCCCAACUGAGCCUGGUUUCUCCCAAGGUUUUUUUCUCCAUUCUGUCACCGAUGGAGUUUUGGUUCCUAGGUUUUCCUUAGUUGGGGACAAUUAAUAUCAAGCGAUAUCAUCAACUUGAUUGAACAGAGGGACGAUACAUCACUGAAUCAAUGAUGAACUGACUUUAACUGAAAACUGAGUGUUUACUGUUGUCCCUUUGCAUUAUUACACACUAUUUUCCUAUUUAAUACUGUAAAGCUGCUAUGAUGCAGUAUUUGAUCAAUAUCACAGGCUUAUUACUCAUAAUAAAUGGAAAAUACAGCUGAAACAAACUUUGCUUUUCCAUUUGAAAUUUUGCAGUCACCGUGUACUCAUGAAAACUGAAAAA
Molecule: long non-coding RNA, 1228 nt
Organism: Carassius gibelio (silver crucian carp)
Lineage: Eukaryota; Metazoa; Chordata; Actinopteri; Cypriniformes; Cyprinidae
Exons: 4
Source: RefSeq, a predicted model, not a curated record